CCUACGGGAGGCAGCAGUGAGGAAUAUUGGUCAAUGGACGAGAGUCUGAACCAGCCAAGUAGCGUGAAGGAUGACUGCCCUAUGGGUUGUAAACUUCUUUCAUAUGGGAAUAAAAUGUUCCACGUGUGGGAUUUUGUAUGUACCAUAUGAAUAAGGAUCGGCUACCUCCGUGCCAGCAGCCGCGGUAAUACGGAGGAUCCGCGCGUUAUCCGGAUGUAUUGGGUUUAAAGGGAGCGUAGGUGGAUUGUUAAGUCAGUUGUGAAAGUUUGCGGCUCAACCGUAAAAUUGCAGUUGAAACUGGCAGUCUUGAGUACAGUAGAGGUGGGCGGAAUUCGUGGUGUAGCGGUGAAAUGCUUAGAUAUCACGAAGAACUCCGAUUGCGAAGGCAGCUCACUGGACUGCAACUGACACUGAGGCUCGAAAGUGUGGGUAUCAAACAGGAUUAGAUACCCCAGUAGUC
RNAcentral lists this ribosomal RNA (460 nucleotides) under uncultured bacterium. RNAcentral describes it as "partial 16S ribosomal RNA". It matches the Rfam family "Bacterial small subunit ribosomal RNA", at positions 338 to 795 of the family's 1533-position model. The record is from RNAcentral.